RNAcentral lists this long non-coding RNA (293 nucleotides) under Ananas comosus (pineapple). RNAcentral's name for it is "long non-coding RNA (ACOM_LNC024495)". Lineage: Eukaryota; Viridiplantae; Streptophyta; Magnoliopsida; Poales; Bromeliaceae. The record is from RNAcentral.
AUUAUUAAAAAUUUAAAUUAAAUGUUCGUUUACAAAUUUUUUAUAAAAAAAGAAAAUUAUUCGUGAGUUUUUGAGCCAGUCGAAUAAUUCGCGAAUUAUUUCUAAAUUAUCGAAAAUCUAAAUAAAAAAACUUAUAAUUUUUAUGUUUAAAUAUAGAUUAUCUUAUAUUUUAUAUUUUAUAUCGAAUCCGAUUUUUAUGCCAAAUUUUUCAACAAAUUUAAAAAUUAAAAAACAAAUUUUAUACGGAUUAUAUUUAUACCAAAUUUUUGCCGAAUUCGAAUUAACUAACUAUG